Molecule: ribosomal RNA, 446 nt
Filed under: uncultured bacterium
Lineage: Bacteria
Description: partial 16S ribosomal RNA
Rfam family: Bacterial small subunit ribosomal RNA
Source: RNAcentral
CCUACGGUAGGCAGCAGUCGAGAAUCAUUCACAAUGGGGGAAACCCUGAUGGUGCGACGCCGCGUGGGGGAAUGAAGGUCUUCGGAUUGUAAACCCCUGUCAUGUGGGAGCAAAUUAAAAAGAUAGUACCACAAGAGGAAGAGACGGCUAACUCUGUGCCAGCAGCCGCGGUAAUACAGAGGUCUCAAGCGUUGUUCGGAAUCACUGGGCGUAAAGCGUGCGUAGGCUGUUUCGUAAGUCGUGUGUGAAAGGCGCGGGCUCAACCCGCGGAAGGAACAUGAUACUGCGAGACUAGAGUAAUGGAGGGGGAACCGGAAUUCUCGGUGUAGCAGUGAAAUGCGUAGAUAUCGAGAGGAACACUCGUGGCGAAGGCGGGUUCCUGGACAUUAACUGACGCUGAGGCACGAAGGCCAGGGGAGCGAAAGGGAUUAGAUACCCGAGUAGUC